UGGGGAAUAUUGCACAAUGGGCGAAAGCCUGAUGCAGCGACGCCGCGUGCGGGAUGAAGGCCUUCGGGUUGUAAACCGCUUUUGAUUGGGAGCAAGCGAGAGUGAGUGUACCUUUCGAAUAAGCACCGGCUAACUACGUGCCAGCAGCCGCGGUAAUACGUAGGGUGCAAGCGUUAUCCGGAAUUAUUGGGCGUAAAGAGCUCGUAGGCGGUUUGUCGCGUCUGGUGUGAAAGUCCAUCGCUUAACGGUGGAUCUGCGCCGGGUACGGGCAGGCUAGAGUGCGACAGGGGAGACUGGAAUUCCCGGUGUAACGGUGGAAUGUGUAGAUAUCGGGAAGAACACCAAUGGCGAAGGCAGGUCUCUGGGUCGUCACUGACGCUGAGGAGCGAAAGCGUGGGGAGCGAACAGGAUUAGAUACCCUGGUAGUCCACGCCGUAAACGGUGGAUGCUGGAUGUGGGGCCC
RNAcentral lists this ribosomal RNA (463 nucleotides) under uncultured bacterium. Its description in RNAcentral is "partial 16S ribosomal RNA". It matches the Rfam family "Bacterial small subunit ribosomal RNA", at positions 355 to 830 of the family's 1533-position model. The record is from RNAcentral.